Cricetulus griseus (Chinese hamster) is the source of this 1399-nucleotide non-coding RNA. Lineage: Eukaryota; Metazoa; Chordata; Mammalia; Rodentia; Cricetidae. The record is from RefSeq and is a predicted model, not a curated record.
GCGCUGACCUCACUUUGGUGUUGGGGAGUCGGUGGUCCUUCUUCCAUUUCAUGCGACGGUUUUGGAACCAGAUUUUGAUCUGCCUCUCAGAGAGGCACAGCGAGUGGGCGAUCUCGAUCCUUCUCCUUCGGGUCAGAACGGAGCUCCUCGGCGCCUUAUUCUCUCCUCUAUGUGCCUUUCCUUCUCUCACCCUGCUCAAAGAGGCCCAGUUUGCUCAGCCCAAAAUCUCCCCUGUAAUAAACCCUGUGGCCUCAAGCCUCCUUCCAAGCCUCAGUCUGUCACCGGAGUCAUCCUAAAGGGCUGCUUCGGGACGACUCUGUCUCCGAGUGUUUAAAUCUUUCGGCUCCCUUUUUGUAUUCCCGAGUCCUCCCGAGAUGUGCCAGCGGCAGGCGCGGGGCCGGGGCCCUGGGCCCGCCUCGCUUUACACUCCAAGGAAAUGGCCAGGCCACACCGUCCUGGGCGCGCCCGCCGAGGCUGCGAAGACGUGAUCCUGCCCUCCCGCCUGAGAGUCACUUUGUGCUGCGCGACCCUCCCCAUUUGAGCUGUUCCCUGGAGCCUGGCCUGAGAGCCCGGCUCUGGGUUUGUGUUUCUAUCUACCCCCAAGAAAGUGUGAAAAAGUCUGAGCUGAUCCUGGAGGAAGCAGCAUGCGGCUCGGACUCGCAGCCCUUUGCCUAGUGAACACCUGGGCUCAGCGCUGGCGUGCGAACAGCAUCCCAGGGAAGCAAAUCCGACUACAAACGACUCCAGGCGCCCUUGGGACCGUAGGCCCUGAGGUCCCGGCUGCGGACCCCAACAUGCAUCAGGCGAUGGGGUCCUAUUGUUAUCCCACAGCCAGAAGGCCACUCUACUUGGCCGCCCCAGAAGCAGGAAGCGUCCUUUCAGGGUGGUUUCAGUCACCCAAGCCCCAGGACCGCGGUCCAGCCUCUUCCACUGCAGGCGCUGCAGAGAGGAGGGGGUCAGGACGCCUCUCAUGUGGAAGUUCAGCGAAUCUCGGGUUGGUCACAAUCCUUUUCCUGCCCUCCUGCUCUACGAAGCCGCAGUUCCUCACUUCCCAUCCCUUCUGCACAGUAACGUCGCCUGGUAAAUAAGAGUCCGUCUGCUUGGCUAUUAGGAUUCUGGAGACGUUGGCAUCUGUAGCAAUCAUUAGUCAAAGCCGCAGAAGCCAAAGCAGCCGAGGAGUUGGACAGAAAAAAUCUUGGAAAUGAUAUACAGGAGCUGAGGAGGCAUCAAUCCCGCCGAUAAGAGCGCGGCUGCCGCGAGCAGGCGGCCAGCUUAAUUGGGCCCUGGGCACCAAGAACAACGCGGGAGGGGAGCUUAGGGUUGUACAGUGACCUGGCAUCAUUUGGGCACCUACAAAAAUAUUUAGGACUUAAACACAUUUCCUCCCAAGUUUAAAAAA